UUCCGGUUGAUCCCGCCGGACCCGACUGCUAUUUGGGUGAGAAUAAGCCAUGCGAGUUGAAUGGGAUACCUAAAGUUCCCAUAGCAAACUGCUCAGUAACACAUGAUCAACUUACCCUAUAGAGAAAAAUAACCUCGGGAAACUGAGGAUAAUGUUUCAUAAUUGAAUUGGCUUGGAAAAGUUUUUCAAUGAAAAGGAUAAAAAAAUGGUUUUUAUCUGCUAUAGGAUAGGAUCGUGUUCGAUUAUGGUUGUUGGUGAGAUAAUGGCUCACCAAGCCGAUAAUCGAUAGGGGCCGUGAGAGCGGGAGCCCCGAGAUGGGUACUGAGACAACGACCCAGGCCUUACGAGGCGCAGCAGGCGCGGAACCUCCGCAAUACACGAAAGUGUGACGGGGUUACCCAAAGUGUUCAAUAGAACUGUGGUAGGUGAGUAAUGUUCCCUACUAGAAAGGAGAGGGCAAGGCUGGUGCCAGCCGCCGCGGUAAAACCAGCUCUUCAAGUGGUCGGGAUAAUUAUUGGGCUUAAAGUGUCCGUAGCCGGUUUAGUAAGUUCCUGGUAAAAUCGGGUAGCUUAACUAUCUGCAUGCUAGGAAUACUGCUAUACUAGAGGGCGGGAGAGGUCUGAGGUACUACAGGGGUAGGGGUGAAAUCUUAUAAUCCUUGUAGGACCACCAGUGGCGAAGGCGUCAGACUGGAACGCGCCUGACGGUGAGGGACGAAAGCCAGGGGAGCGAACCGGAUUAGAUACCCGGGUAGUCCUGGCCGUAAACGAUGCAUACUAGGUGACGGUACGGCCAUGAGCCGUAUCAGUGCCGUAGGGAAACCGUUAAGUGUGCCGCCUGGGAAGUACGGUCGCAAGGCUAAAACUUAAAGGAAUUGGCGGGGGAGCACCACAAGGGGUGAAGCCUGCGGUUCAAUUGGAUUCACGCCGGGAAUCACUAGUGCGGCCGCC
RNAcentral lists this ribosomal RNA (950 nucleotides) under uncultured archaeon. RNAcentral describes it as "bacterial SSU rRNA". It matches the Rfam family "Archaeal small subunit ribosomal RNA", at positions 1 to 943 of the family's 1478-position model. The record is from RNAcentral.